CGAGUCAGCCGGGCAAUCGCUGUUCGCGUCCCUGGACGCGGGCGGAGGAAAGUCCGGGCUCCAAAGAGCAGGGCGCCAGGUAACGCCUGGGGGGCGCGAGCCUACGGCAAGUGCAACAGAAAGCAUACCGCCAGACAGCCGUCUGGUAAGGGUGAAAUGGUGCGGUAAGAGCGCACCGCGCGGCUGGUAACAGUCCGUGGCAAGGUAAACCCCGCCCGGAGCAAGGCCAAAUAGGAAUCCCAUGGUGUCGCUCGCACCGGAUUCGGGUAGGCCGCUACAGGUCCGCGGUGACGCGGGCCGCAGAUGAAUGAUUGCCCUCGACAGAACCCGGCUUACAGGCUGACUCGGCCU
Molecule: RNase P RNA, 351 nt
Filed under: Gammaproteobacteria bacterium
Lineage: Bacteria; Pseudomonadati; Pseudomonadota; Gammaproteobacteria
Description: RNase P RNA component class A
Rfam family: Bacterial RNase P class A
About the family: Ribonuclease P (RNase P) is a ubiquitous endoribonuclease, found in archaea, bacteria and eukarya as well as chloroplasts and mitochondria. Its best characterised activity is the generation of mature 5'-ends of tRNAs by cleaving the 5'-leader elements of precursor-tRNAs.
Source: RNAcentral